UAGCGUGCACAAAAGUGUCAGAAGAUACCUCGUGUCUCGCUGCGAACUCGCCGUAUGCGUGGCGCGCCAGGCAAAUGUGGACCAACGCUUUUUAUGUUGUGGCCUUUGUCUGGUUGUGGAAAGUUGGGUGGACGUCGAAAAAAAAAUAAUGCGUAUUGUUAGCGUGCCUCAGCUCGUCCACUACGCAGCGAAAUCUAUGAUGGGAGUAAUGUCGUCGACGCAGCACCGGCAACUUGGAGAUCGUCGUACCAUUGAAAAGUGGUGAGACCGUGACCCUAUAGCAGUGUCGACAUAAUGGCAGGGAAAUGCAGGGAUCCCGCAGCCAUGGCUACAGCAGCACAGGGUGUAAUCUGGAUGUCAUGUCAGACCUGAAGCCUACAGCUUCAGAUUGUGCGCUUGACUGUCAAGCCUUGUGAAGGAGAGGAUGGAGGCUUUUAUUUCCCCUUACGUAAGAUUAUAUGUAACUUGCAUGCUGAUAAUAGACCUGUUGCAUGGACCACUCAUCUACAGCGUGCCUCAUAAUCAUGUGUUGGCUUUGACACUUACAACUCUAUCAUUUAUUUUUGCAGC
Long non-coding RNA from Dermacentor silvarum, 570 nucleotides. RefSeq lists it as uncharacterized. The transcript has 3 exons. NCBI's taxonomy places the organism in Eukaryota, Metazoa, Arthropoda, Arachnida, Ixodida, Ixodidae. The record is from RefSeq and is a predicted model, not a curated record.